This 435-nucleotide ribosomal RNA is filed under the name uncultured bacterium. Its description in RNAcentral is "bacterial SSU rRNA". It matches the Rfam family "Bacterial small subunit ribosomal RNA", at positions 958 to 1393 of the family's 1533-position model. The record is from RNAcentral.
AACGCGAAGAACCUUACCAGGUCUUGACAUCCUUCUGAAUAUAGCUUAGCCGCUAUAGUCCUUCGGGACAGAAGAGACAGGUGGUGCAUGGUUGUCGUCAGCUCGUGUCGUGAGAUGUUGGGUUAAGUCCCGCAACGAGCGCAACCCUUAUGUUUAGUUGUUAACAGGUUAAGCUGAACCCUCUAGACAGACUGCCGAGGAUAACUCGGAGGAAGGCGGGGAUGACGUCAAAUCAUCAUGCCCCUUAUGAUCUGGGCUACACACGUGCUACAAUGGCUGGUACAACGGGCAGCGAAAGAGCGAUCUGGAGCGAAUCCUAAAAAGCCAGUCCCAGUUCGGAUUGUAGGCUGAAACUCGCCUACAUGAAGUUGGAGUUGCUAGUAAUCGCGGAUCAGAAUGCCGCGGUGAAUGCGUUCCCGGGUCUUGUACACACGC